RNAcentral lists this ribosomal RNA (471 nucleotides) under uncultured bacterium. RNAcentral's name for it is "bacterial SSU rRNA". It matches the Rfam family "Bacterial small subunit ribosomal RNA", at positions 329 to 793 of the family's 1533-position model. The record is from RNAcentral.
CUGCCCACUCCUACGGGAGGCAGCAGUGGGGAAUAUUGCACAAUGGGCGCAAGCCUGAUGCAGCCAUGCCGCGUGUAUGAAGAAGGCCUUCGGGUUGUAAAGUACUUUCAGCAGUGAGGAAGGUGGGUAUGUUAAUAGCAUACUCAUUUGACGUUAGCUGCAGAAGAAGCACCGGCUAACUCCGUGCCAGCAGCCGCGGUAAUACGGAGGGUGCGAGCGUUAAUCGGAAUUACUGGGCGUAAAGCGCAUGCAGGUGGUUUGUUAAGUCAGAUGUGAAAGCCCGGGGCUCAACCUCGGAAUUGCAUUUGAAACUGGCAAACUAGAGUACUGUAGAGGGGGUAGAAUUUCAGGUGUAGCGGUGAAAUGCGUAGAGAUCUGAAGGAAUACCGGUGGCGAAGGCGGCCCCCUGGACAGAUACUGACACUCAGAUGCGAAAGCGUGGGGAGCAAACAGGAUUAGAUACCCUGGUAG